CAGUCGCCGCGGUAAUACGAAGGGUGCAAGCGUUAAUCGGAAUUACUGGGCGUAAAGGGUGCGUAGGCGGUUGUUCAAGUCUGUUGUGAAAUCCCCGGGCUCAACCUGGGAAUGGCAGUGGAUACUGGCUCGCUAGAGUGUGUCAGAGGAUGGUGGAAUUCCCGGUGUAGCGGUGAAAUGCGUAGAGAUCGGGAGGAACAUCAGUGGCGAAGGCGGCCAUCUGGGACAACACUGACGCUGAGGCACGAAAGCGUGGGGAGCAAACAGGAUUAGAUACCCGUGUAGUCCCUGUCUCUUAUAC
Molecule: ribosomal RNA, 301 nt
Filed under: uncultured bacterium
Lineage: Bacteria
Description: partial 16S ribosomal RNA
Rfam family: Bacterial small subunit ribosomal RNA
Source: RNAcentral